CUAGAUGCAGCCCAGAAGGGCGUGGGAGUAGCACCUGAGAAUAACGGUCUCCUUGUGCGGAUCUGGGGAGCCCCCUGCAGGGUGGCAACCAGAGGAAAGGGCCACAAUGUUCCACGGCCAAGGAGGAAAGAAGGAAUGCCCCUUUUCCCAUCUCUAGGUCUAACAUUCAAGAUCACUGGCCAGGCUGGAUGAAGUGGCUCACACCUGUAAUCCAGCACUUUGGGAGGCCGAGGUGGGAGGAUCCCUUGAGUGAAGCUGGACUCACCCACCUGGGCUGCCAUAGGAAA
RNAcentral lists this long non-coding RNA (287 nucleotides) under Homo sapiens (human). Its description in RNAcentral is "long non-coding RNA NONHSAT162167.1". Lineage: Eukaryota; Metazoa; Chordata; Mammalia; Primates; Hominidae. The record is from RNAcentral.